CGAACGCUGGCGGCGUGCCUAAUACAUGCAAGUUGAGCGCUGAAGGUUGGUACUUGUACCAACUGGAUGAGCAGCGAACGGGUGAGUAACGCGUGGGGAAUCUGCCUUUGAGCGGGGGACAACAUUUGGAAACGAAUGCUAAUACCGCAUAAAAACUUUAAACACAAGUUUUAAGUUUGAAAGAUGCAAUUGCAUCACUCAAAGAUGAUCCCGCGUUGUAUUAGCUAGUUGGUGAGGUAAAGGCUCACCAAGGCGAUGAUACAUAGCCGACCUGAGAGGGUGAUCGGCCACAGUGGGACUGAGACACGGCCCAAACUCCUACGGGAGGCAGCAGUAGGGAAUCUUCGGCAAUGGACGAAAGUCUGACCGAGCAACGCCGCGUGAGUGAAGAAGGUUUUCGGAUCGUAAAACUCUGUUGGUAGAGAAGAACGUUGGUGAGAGUGGAAAGCUCAUCAUGUGACGGUAACUACCCAGAAAGGGACGGCUAACUACGUG
This 495-nucleotide ribosomal RNA is filed under the name uncultured bacterium. RNAcentral describes it as "partial 16S ribosomal RNA". It matches the Rfam family "Bacterial small subunit ribosomal RNA", at positions 30 to 507 of the family's 1533-position model. The record is from RNAcentral.